Molecule: ribosomal RNA, 500 nt
Filed under: uncultured bacterium
Lineage: Bacteria
Description: partial 16S ribosomal RNA
Rfam family: Bacterial small subunit ribosomal RNA
Source: RNAcentral
AUUGAACGCUGGCGGAAUGCUUUACACAUGCAAGUCGAACGGCAGCACGGACUUCGGUCUGGUGGCGAGUGGCGAACGGGUGAGUAAUGUAUCGGAACGUGCCCAGUCGUGGGGGAUAACGUAGUGAAAAUUACGCUAAUACCGCAUACGAUCUAUGGAUGAAAGCGGGGGAUCGCAAGAACUCGCCCGAAUGGAGCGGCCGAUAUCAGAUUAGGUAGUUGGUGGGGUAAAGGGCCACCAAGCCAACGAUCUGUAGCUGGUCUGAGAGGACGACCAGCCACACUGGAACUGAGACACGGUCCAGACUCCUACGGGAGGCAGCAGUGGGGAAUUUUGGACAAUGGGCGAAAGCCUGAUCCAGCCAUUCCGCGUGCAGGAUGAAGGCCCUCGGGUUGUAAACUGCUUUUGUACAGAACGAAAAGGUUUCUACUAAUACUAGGAGCUCACGACGGUACUGUAAGAAUAAGCACCGGCUAACUACGUGCCAGCCGCCGCAGUAA